CCUACGGGAGGCAGCAGUGUGGAAUAUUGGUCAAUGGGCGCGAGCCUGAACCAGCCAAGUCGCGUGAGGGAAGACGGUCCUAUGGAUUGUAAACCUCUUUUGUCGGGGAGCAAAAGACGCCACGCGUGGCGUUCCGAGAGUACCCGAAGAAAAAGCACCGGCUAACUCCGUACCAGCAGCCGCGGUAAUACGGAGGAUGCGAGCGUUAUCCGGAUUUAUGGGGUUUAAAGGGUGCGCAGGCGGAAGAUCAAGUCAGCGGUAAAAUUGAGAGGCUCAACCUCUUCGAGCCGUUGAAACUGGUUUUCUUGAGUGAGUGAGAGGAAUGCGGAAUGCGUGGUGUAGCGGUGAAAUGCAUAGAUAUCACGCAGAACUCCGAUUGCGAAGGCAGCAUACCGGCGCUCAACUGACGCUCAUGCACGAAAGUGUGGGUAUCGAACAGGAUUAGAUACCCGAGUAGUC
RNAcentral lists this ribosomal RNA (459 nucleotides) under uncultured bacterium. RNAcentral describes it as "partial 16S ribosomal RNA". It matches the Rfam family "Bacterial small subunit ribosomal RNA", at positions 338 to 795 of the family's 1533-position model. The record is from RNAcentral.